GGGGCGCCGCCGGCGCCUUUCCUCCGCAAUGUUGCAAACGGCCAUCGGGGAAACCGGACUGCCACUCUUAACGGGGUGGCUUUUCUGAAGUGUAAAACGCUUCAGGAAUAAGAGCUGGGCAAGACCGGUGCCAGCCGCCGCGGUAACACCGGCAGCUCAAGUGGUGGCCAUUUUUAUUGGGCCUAAAGCGUUCGUAGCCGGCUUGAUAAUCCUCUGGUGAAAUCCCACAGCUAAACUGUGGGAAUUGCUGGACAUACUAAGUACGCUUGAGGUCGGGAGAGGUCGGAGGUGCUCCCAUGGCAGGGGUGAAAUCCUAUUAUCCUGGGAGGACCACCUGUGGACUUGGCGUCCAGGUGGAACGGACCUGACGGUGAGUAACGAAAGCCCCACUUGCGAACCGGAUUAGACCCCGGGUAGUGCUGGCCGUCUUGCAUGUGUACUUGGUGUGAGGAUGGCUCCCAUCUGACCCACCGCCCAAGGGAAACUGGUAAUUGCACCGCCUGCGAAGCACUGUCGCAAGACUGAAAC
Molecule: ribosomal RNA, 528 nt
Filed under: uncultured archaeon
Lineage: Archaea
Description: bacterial SSU rRNA
Rfam family: Archaeal small subunit ribosomal RNA
Source: RNAcentral